AUGACGUCAACAAAUGAUGGUAGCCAUGGGGACAACAGCACCACCUAGCGGAUAUUUCUAAAGAAAAUGGAUUGUCUCUCCAAUCCGUCCGUUUGGUGGGCAUUUAGGAUGUCAUGGGCUUGUAUGCACAAAUCGCCGGGCUCAGCUGAAGAUUCCCAAAUAACUGUGGUCUGCUACCUUUGCGUCAACCAAUGAAUAGACGACUUCGGAGUUCCGAACUGCGCAAUCUGCGACAUCACGUUACACCGAUCAAAGAUUAAUACUGUCUAGAAAUGGCUUGUUUAGGUAGAAAGUACAUUGCCGGUGUCUUUAAAGUAGAUUGUUCUGUACAUUUGAAUUUUGGAAACAUAUUUGAAUAAAAUGUGAAAAACGUU
Molecule: long non-coding RNA, 374 nt
Organism: Gigantopelta aegis
Lineage: Eukaryota; Metazoa; Mollusca; Gastropoda; Neomphalida; Peltospiridae
Exons: 2
Source: RefSeq, a predicted model, not a curated record